GACGAACGCUGGCGGCGUGCCUAAUACAUGCAAGUUGAGCGCUGAAGGUUGGUACUUGUACCAACUGGAUGAGCAGCGAACGGGUGAGUAACGCGUGGGGAAUCUGCCUUUGAGCGGGGGACAACAUUUGGAAACGAAUGCUAAUACCGCAUAAAAACUUUAAACACAAGUUUUAAGUUUGAAAGAUGCAAUUGCAUCACUCAAAGAUGAUCCCGCGUUGUAUUAGCUAGUUGGUGAGGUAAAGGCUCACCAAGGCGAAGAUACAUAGCCGAACUGAGAGGGGGAACGGCCCACAUGGGACCGGGACCAGGCCCAAACGCCUUCGGGGGGCAGCAGGAGGGAAUCUUCGGCAAUGGACGAAAGUCUGACCGAGCAACGCCGCGUGAGUGAAGAAGGUUUUCGGAUCGUAAAACUCUGUUGGUAGAGAAGAACGUUGGUGAGAGUGGAAAGCUCAUCAAGUGACGGUAACUACCCAGAAAGGGACGGCUAACUACGUG
This 497-nucleotide ribosomal RNA is filed under the name uncultured bacterium. RNAcentral's name for it is "partial 16S ribosomal RNA". It matches the Rfam family "Bacterial small subunit ribosomal RNA", at positions 28 to 507 of the family's 1533-position model. The record is from RNAcentral.